GACAGAGGGUGCAAACGUUGUUCGGAAUUACUGGGCGUAAAGCGCGUGUAGGCUGCUCAGAAAGUCGGAUGUGAAAGCCCUGGGCUCAACCCAGGAAGUGCACUCGAAACUGCCAGGCUAGAGUAUCGGAGAGGUUGGUGGAAUUCUCGGUGUAGAGGUGAAAUUCGUAGAUAUCGAGAGGAACACCGGUGGCGAAGGCGGCCAACUGGACGAAUACUGACGCUGAGACUCGAAAGCGUGGGGAGCAAACAGG
RNAcentral lists this ribosomal RNA (253 nucleotides) under uncultured bacterium. RNAcentral describes it as "partial 16S ribosomal RNA". It matches the Rfam family "Bacterial small subunit ribosomal RNA", at positions 524 to 776 of the family's 1533-position model. The record is from RNAcentral.